This 253-nucleotide ribosomal RNA is filed under the name uncultured bacterium. Its description in RNAcentral is "partial 16S ribosomal RNA". It matches the Rfam family "Bacterial small subunit ribosomal RNA", at positions 524 to 776 of the family's 1533-position model. The record is from RNAcentral.
UACGGAGGGUGCAAGCGUUAAUCGGAAUUACUGGGCGUAAAGCGCACGCAGGCGGUUUGUUAAGUCAGAUGUGAAAUCCCCGGGCUCAAACUGGGAACUGCAUCUGAUACUGGCAAGCUUGAGUCUCGUAGAGGGGGGUAGAAUUCCAGGUGUAGCGGUGAAAUGCGUGGAGAUCUGGAGGAAUACUUGUGGCGAAGGAGGCCCCCUGGACGUAGACUGACGCUCAGGCGCGAGAGCGUGGGCUGCAGACAUG